GAUUGAACGCUGGCGGCAGGCCUAACACAUGCAAGUCGAGCGGUAACAGAUCCAGCUUGCUGGAUGCUGACGAGCGGCGGACGGGUGAGUAAUGCAUAGGAAUCUGCCCGAUAGUGGGGGAUAACCUGGGGAAACCCAGGCUAAUACCGCAUACGUCCUACGGGAGAAAGGGGGCUUCGGCUCCCGCUAUCGGAUGAGCCUAUGUCGGAUUAGCUAGUUGGUGAGGUAAAGGCUCACCAAGGCAACGAUCCGUAGCUGGUCUGAGAGGAUGAUCAGCCACAUCGGGACUGAGACACGGCCCGAACUCCUACGGGAGGCAGCAGUGGGGAAUAUUGGACAAUGGGGGCAACCCUGAUCCAGCCAUGCCGCGUGUGUGAAGAAGGCCCUCGGGUUGUAAAGCACUUUCAGCGAGGAAGAACGCCUAGCGGUUAAUACCCGCUAGGAAAGACAUCACUCGCAGAAGAAGCACCGGCUAACUCCGUGCCAGCAGCCGCGGUAAUACGGAGGGUGCAAGCGUUAAUCGGAAUUACUGGGCGUAAAGCGCGCGUAGGUGGCUUGAUAAGCCGGUUGUGAAAGCCCCGGGCUCAACCUGGGAACGGCAUCCGGAACUGUCAAGCUAGAGUGCAGGAGAGGAAGGUAGAAUUCCCGGUGUAGCGGUGAAAUGCGUAGAGAUCGGGAGGAAUACCAGUGGCGAAGGCGGCCUUCUGGACUGACACUGACACUGAGGUGCGAAAGCGUGGGUAGCAAACAGGAUUAGAUACCCUGGUAGUCCACGCCGUAAACGAUGUCGACCAGCCGUUGGGUGCCUAGCGCACUUUGUGGCGAAGUUAACGCGAUAAGUC
RNAcentral lists this ribosomal RNA (842 nucleotides) under Halomonas sp. Its description in RNAcentral is "bacterial SSU rRNA". It matches the Rfam family "Bacterial small subunit ribosomal RNA", at positions 27 to 866 of the family's 1533-position model. Lineage: Bacteria; Pseudomonadati; Pseudomonadota; Gammaproteobacteria; Oceanospirillales; Halomonadaceae. The record is from RNAcentral.